AACCUUAUGGACCUGCGGGCGUAUACCUGCGGAGGGAUCAUUAAUAAAUGUUACUUCGGUAACUUAAUUAAUCCCUAACACCUGUGCAUCUUGUCGCUUCGGCGUCAUUUUAUAAACAUCAGUGUAAUGAAUGUAACGUAUUAUAACAAAUACAACUUUCAACAAUGGAUCU
Molecule: unclassified non-coding RNA, 172 nt
Filed under: soil metagenome
Description: partial contains 5.8S ribosomal RNA, internal transcribed spacer 2, and large subunit ribosomal RNA
Source: RNAcentral